CCUACGGGAGGCAGCAGUGAGGAAUAUUGGUCAAUGGCCGGAAGGCUGAACCAGCCAUGCCGCGUGAAGGUCAGUGCCCUAUGGGCGUUAAACUUCUUUUGUGCGGGAGCAAUAAUGGUCACGUGUGGCCAGACGAGAGUACCGUACGAAUAAGCAUCGGCUAACUCCGUGCCAGCAGCCGCGGUAAUACGGGGGAUGCAAGCGUUAUCCGGACUUAUUGGGUUUAAAGGGGGCGUAGGCUGUGAGGUAAGUCAGCGGUGAAAUGCCCCCGCUCAAAGGGGUGAAGUGCAAUUGAUACUGCCUGGCUGGAAUGCGGAUGCGGUGGGAGGAAUGUGUGGUGUAGCGGUGAAAUGCAUAGAUAUCACACAGAACACCGAUUGCGAAGGCAUCUCACGAAUCCGCGAUUGACGCUGAUGCACGAAAGCGUGGGUAUCAAACAGGAUUAGAUACCCCUGUAGUC
This 460-nucleotide ribosomal RNA is filed under the name uncultured bacterium. RNAcentral describes it as "partial 16S ribosomal RNA". It matches the Rfam family "Bacterial small subunit ribosomal RNA", at positions 338 to 795 of the family's 1533-position model. The record is from RNAcentral.